Lonchura striata (white-rumped munia) is the source of this 1705-nucleotide long non-coding RNA. The record is from Ensembl. Lineage: Eukaryota; Metazoa; Chordata; Aves; Passeriformes; Estrildidae.
AGAGCUGCCUGACACAGUCCAACACCCUCCCAAAUUUUGCCCCAUCGCCCAAACUUAAAAUCCAGGAUUUUUUCCCCAUAUUUGACCAAAAAAAACCGGAUUUGGCUGAAAACUUGAAUUUUCAUUUAGGAUUUGUCUGAAAAACUGGGAUUUUCCCCCAUUUUUACCUUUCCCACCUAUUUUUGGUACCUAGAGCUGCCUCACACCACCCAACAUCCUCCCAAAUUUUGCCCCAGUGCCCAAACUGAAAAUCCGGGAUUUUUCCCCAUAUUUGACAUUAAAAAAAAGACGGAUUUAUCCAAAAAACCGGGAUUUUCCCCAUUUUUACCUUUCCCACCUAUUUUUGGUACUUACAGGUGCCUCAAACAACCCAACACCCUCCCAAAUUUUUCCCCAUCGCCCAAACUGAAAAUCCUUGAUUUUUCCCCAUAUUUGUCAUUAAAAAAAAAGACAGAUUUAUCCAAAAAACCGGGAUUUUCCCCCAUUUUUACCUUUCCCACAUAUUUUUGGUGCCUAGAGCUGCCUCACACCACCCAACACCCUCCCAAAUUUUGCCCCAUCGCCCAAACUGAAAAUCCGGGAUUUUUCCCCAUAUUUGACCAAAAAAAAGAAGAAUUUGGCUGAAAACUUGGUGUUUCAACUGGAAUUUGUCCAAAAAACCGGGAUUUUCCCCCAAUUUUACCUCUUCCAUGUAUUUUUUGUCACCUAGAGCUGCCUCACACAACCCAACACCCUCCCAAAUUUUGCCCCAUCGCCCAAACUGAAAAUCCGGGAUUUUUCCCCAUAUUUGACCAAGAAAAAAAAGGAUUUCGGUGAAAACUUGAAUUUUCAUUUAGGAUUUGGUUCAAAAACUUGGAUUUUUCCCCAUUUUUACCUCUCCCACAUAUUUUUUCCACCUAGAGCUGCCUGACACAACCCAACACCCUCCCAAAUUUUGCCCCAGUGCCCAAACUGAAAAUCCGGGAUUUUUCCCCAUAUUUGUCAUUAAAAAAAAAGACAGAUUUAUCCAAAAAACCGGGAUUUUCCCCCAUUUUUACCUCUCCCACAUAUUUUUCCCACCUAGAGCUGCCUGACACAACCCAACACCCUCCCAAAUUUUGCCCCAUCGCCCAAACUGAAAAUCCGGGAUUUUUCCCCAUAUUUGACCUUAAAAAAAAGACAGAUUUAUCUGAAAAAUUGGUAUUUUUUCCCAAAUUUUACCUCUCCCAUAUAUUUUUCCCACCUAGAGCUGCCUGACACAGUCCAACACCCUCCCAAAUUUUGCCCCAUCGCCCAAACUUAAAAUCCAGGAUUUUUUCCCCAUAUUUGGCCAUAAAAAAAACGGAUUUGGCUGAAAACUUGAAUUUUCAUUUAGGAUUUGUCUGAAAAACUGGGAUUUUCCCCAAUUUUACCUCUCCCACAUAUUUUUCCCACCUAGAGCUGCCUCACACAACCCAACACCCUCCCAAAUUUUUCCCCAUCGCCCAAACUGAAAAUCUGGGAUUUUUCCCCCAUAUUUGACAUGAAAAAAAAAGACAGAUUUGUCCAAAAAACCGGGAUUUUCCCCCAAUUUUACCUCUCCCACAUAUUUUUUCCACCUAGAGAUGCCUCACACGGUCCAACAUCAUCCCUGAUUUUUCCCCAUCGCCCAAAUUGAAAAUCCGGGAUUUUUCCCCAGAUUUGACCAAAAAAAAUAAACGGAUUUGGCUGAAAACUUGAAUUUUCA